RNAcentral lists this ribosomal RNA (1374 nucleotides) under uncultured Gammaproteobacteria bacterium. RNAcentral's name for it is "bacterial SSU rRNA". It matches the Rfam family "Bacterial small subunit ribosomal RNA", at positions 29 to 1393 of the family's 1533-position model. The record is from RNAcentral. Lineage: Bacteria; Pseudomonadati; Pseudomonadota; Gammaproteobacteria.
UUGAACGCUGGCGGCAGGCCUAACACAUGCAAGUCGAACGGUAACAGGAAGAAGCUUGCUUCUUUGCUGACGAGUGGCGGACGGGUGAGUAAUGUCUGGGAAACUGCCUGAUGGAGGGGGAUAACUACUGGAAACGGUAGCUAAUACCGCAUAACGUCGCAAGACCAAAGAGGGGGACCUUAGGGCCUCUUGCCAUCGGAUGUGCCCAGAUGGGAUUAGCUAGUAGGUGGGGUAAAGGCUCACCUAGGCGACGAUCCCUAGCUGGUCUGAGAGGAUGACCAGCCACACUGGAACUGAGACACGGUCCAGACUCCUACGGGAGGCAGCAGUGGGGAAUAUUGCACAAUGGGCGCAAGCCUGAUGCAGCCAUGCCGCGUGUAUGAAGAAGGCCUUCGGGUUGUAAAGUACUUUCAGCGGGGAGGAAGGUGUUGUGGUUAAUAACCACAGCAAUUGACGUUACCCGCAGAAGAAGCACCGGCUAACUCCGUGCCAGCAGCCGCGGUAAUACGGAGGGUGCAAGCGUUAAUCGGAAUUACUGGGCGUAAAGCGCACGCAGGCGGUCUGUCAAGUCGGAUGUGAAAUCCCCGGGCUCAACCUGGGAACUGCAUUCGAAACUGGCAGGCUUGAGUCUCGUAGAGGGGGGUAGAAUUCCAGGUGUAGCGGUGAAAUGCGUAGAGAUCUGGAGGAAUACCGGUGGCGAAGGCGGCCCCCUGGACGAAGACUGACGCUCAGGUGCGAAAGCGUGGGGAGCAAACAGGAUUAGAUACCCUGGUAGUCCACGCCGUAAACGAUGUCUAUUUGGAGGUUGUGCCCUUGAGGUGUGGCUUCCGGAGCUAACGCGUUAAAUAGACCGCCUGGGGAGUACGGCCGCAAGGUUAAAACUCAAAUGAAUUGACGGGGGCCCGCACAAGCGGUGGAGCAUGUGGUUUAAUUCGAUGCAACGCGAAGAACCUUACCUGGUCUUGACAUCCACAGAACUUUCCAGAGAUGGAGGGGUGCCUUCGGGAACUGUGAGACAGGUGCUGCAUGGCUGUCGUCAGCUCGUGUUGUGAAAUGUUGGGUUAAGUCCCGCAACGAGCGCAACCCUUAUCCUUUGUUGCCAGCGGUUAGGCCGGGAACUCAAAGGAGACUGCCAGUGAUAAACUGGAGGAAGGUGGGGAUGGCGUCAAGUCAUCAUGGCCCUUACGACCAGGGCUACACACGUGCUACAAUGGCGCAUACAAAGAGAAGCGAACUCGCGAGAGCAAGCGGACCUCAUAAAGUGCGUCGUAGUCCGGACUGGAGUCUGCAACUCGACUCCAUGAAGUCGGAAUCGCUAGUAAUCGUGGAUCAGAAUGCCACGGUGAAUACGUUCCCGGGCCUUGUACACACCGC